RNAcentral lists this ribosomal RNA (505 nucleotides) under uncultured bacterium. RNAcentral describes it as "partial 16S ribosomal RNA". It matches the Rfam family "Bacterial small subunit ribosomal RNA", at positions 28 to 507 of the family's 1533-position model. The record is from RNAcentral.
GACGAACGCUGGCGGCGUGCCUAAUACAUGCAAGUAGAACGCACAGUUUAUACCGUAGCUUGCUACACCAUAGACUGUGAGUUGCGAACGGGUGAGUAACGCGUAGGUAACCUGCCUGGUAGCGGGGGAUAACUAUUGGAAACGAUAGCUAAUACCGCAUAAUAUUAAUUAUUGCAUGAUAAUUAAUUGAAAGGUGCAAUUGCACCACUACCAGAUGGACCUGCGUUGUAUUAGCUAGUAGGUGAGGUAACGGCUCACCUAGGCGACGAUACAUAGCCGACCUGGGAGGGUAAUCGGCCAGACUGGGACUGAGACACGGCCCAGAGUCCUACGGGAGGCAGCAGUAGGGAAUCUUCGGCAAUGGACGAAAGUCUGACCGAGCAACACCGCGUGAGUGAAGAAGGUUUUCGGAUCGUAAAGCCCUGUUGUAAGAGAAGAACGGGUGUGAGAGUGGAAAGUUCACACUGUGACGGUAUCUUACCAGAAAGGGACGGCUAACUACGUG